GCAUUUAUUACUCUACUACAUUUAUUUUUUUUAUUAAUUUUCUACUCUGUGUGUUGAUAUUGUGAAUAUGUAUUAUAUGUAGAAACAUUAUAUGCAUAAAUUUAAAUAUAGAUGAGAUUUCAUGUAAAGCCUGUUUCACAGCUAGCCGGUUCAAAUUGAGAUUCAUUUUGAAUGGAUCUCUUAAAUAAAAGGUCAAAAUCAGAUGUGCUCUGUAUUUUUCUGGUUUCUAGAGUUCUGCUGCGGCAUUAUGUGGUCUAGCUGUGGUCCACAGGUUUUACAUGUAUGUUUUUCUCCUGGGCUGAACCUUGUCUAACCUUAUGGACCUGUUGUAAUCUAGGUGCAAUGGCUACUAAAGUGCGGAGACAUGAUUCACGGGUCCAUCCUUACCAAAGGAUAGUGACCACAGACAGAGCCGCCACCGGCAACUAACAAAUGACCUCUGAACUCUGAACUCUUCACCCAAUGAUGAGCCGCCCGAGCCUGCCUGCUGAUCAGAUUAACUGGUAAUUGCCUUUUGCUAGCCUGGUGGAUGCAGAGAGAGAGGCACCUGUCCAAGCAGUGAUCCUAACAUAAACCAACACAAAACAAAACAACCCUCCAUACCAACAAGUUGUGUAGUGAUAACAACGAUGAUACUCUUUAUUAUUUUUUAUUAUUAUUGUUUCUUUCUUAUUCUUUUUAAAUCUCAAAUGACUGGGUAAAUGUUAACAGUGAUGUUGCGUUACCCGAAAAUCUGCACUGAAGUUUAAAAGCAAUAAAGAAGCGUCUUCUGCUAAUUCAGCCCUUAAAUGCAUUUAUGCUCAAAAUAAAUGUAAAAAAAAGAGAGAGAAAGAAAUAGAAAGCUUGGUGACCCUAGUUUAAUCAGUCAUAACGCUAAACGGGGCAUCAGCAUCCAGAUUAUGUCUAUACGCUACCCCACACCUAUUUAAAUUAUCACUAUAAAUCAGCAAAAGAAAAAGAAGGAAAGAAAUCUGCACUCACACCAACUUGUGUAUUUCCUGUCCUUCU
This 1008-nucleotide long non-coding RNA is filed under the name Sinocyclocheilus anshuiensis. Its description in RNAcentral is "lncRNA (ENSSANG00000034588.1)". Lineage: Eukaryota; Metazoa; Chordata; Actinopteri; Cypriniformes; Cyprinidae. The record is from RNAcentral.